Molecule: long non-coding RNA, 939 nt
Organism: Brassica oleracea var. oleracea
Lineage: Eukaryota; Viridiplantae; Streptophyta; Magnoliopsida; Brassicales; Brassicaceae
Exons: 3
Source: RefSeq, a predicted model, not a curated record
UCUUUCUUCAUCGCUCUUCCUAGAUGUUUCAAGGAAUCAAUCCCUCUUCCUCCUCCAAUCCCAAUCACUCCAUCUUCUCUCUAGCUUAUGAUCUCCAUCUCCUUCUCUUUCAGAGAGGUUGAUGUCUGGCGUUGGAGUAAUCGUUUCGGAUCCAUGACUACAAAGCCAGUUCACGCAAGUCGAGCUUCGUUCUCUCAAGUUUGCGGCGUUUACGUUAGAGGAUCUUCCACUUGUGUUGGUGAAGUCACUCACCUCUGCGUUCAAGGAGAAAGAAAUCAGAGAGAUCUUACCAUAUUUGGCUUCUGAUUACGCAGCCUACGAUGAUCUCGAUUUCGAAUCGUUUCUCACGCUAAUCUAGCAAGAGCUUCACUGGAUUCUGGAACACAGCAACAAGAUCCUAGCAAGCAAACUCAAUGUUUCACAUACCGAGAACUCGCCACCGCAACUAACAAUUUCAGGCUCGAAUCUAUGAUCGGACAUGGUGGUUUCGGUUCUGUUUUCAAAGGAAAGUUAGUGUUUCCUCCUGGACAUGUAACUCUCAACAUAUAUCAUCUAGAGUUGUGAUUUAACUGUGCUCCUCUUCUUUUACUCUGUUACUGUGCUCACUCACUCUCUCUGUUUAUGUUCACUCACUCACUCUUAGUUAUCACUUGUGUAUCACCAUAACACACAAGUACACACUCAUACUCUCUUGACUCUCACGUUUGUUUUCUUAUUGUAGAGAGAAGAGAGAACACACGGAUGUUUACAUUGUUAACUCUUUUCUUAUUGAAUUGGAUGCACAUAUUUAUAGUAGUUUUAUCUAACUACUACACACACAUAUUUAGACAUUUAACAUGACCACUGAAAUCCAAUAAUUAACUUACAAAAAAAAAAAAAUUUAGGAACCUCAAUGAGGUUCUCCCAUUGGACGAUAAAAAAAUUAAUUAGACUACCAGA